This 173-nucleotide ribosomal RNA is filed under the name Itapotihyla langsdorffii (ocellated treefrog). RNAcentral's name for it is "partial 16S ribosomal RNA". The record is from RNAcentral. Lineage: Eukaryota; Metazoa; Chordata; Amphibia; Anura; Hylidae.
ACGUGAUCUGAGUUCAGACCGGAGUAAUCCAGGUCAGUUUCUAUCUAUAAGGGACUCUUUCCAGUACGAAAGGACCGAAAAAGCAUGGCCAAUACUUUAUGCAAGCCAUUAUUAAUAAUUUAUGACUAAACCUCAAUAAACAAUUAACCCAUUAUAUAUCUCAAAAAAAGAGU